This is a long non-coding RNA of Eriocheir sinensis (Chinese mitten crab), 7345 nucleotides long. RefSeq lists it as uncharacterized. The transcript has 6 exons. NCBI's taxonomy places the organism in Eukaryota, Metazoa, Arthropoda, Malacostraca, Decapoda, Varunidae. The record is from RefSeq and is a predicted model, not a curated record.
UUUGUUUUAUAACAAUACAGUUGGGUGUUUCAGUUUGUACGCACCUUGUAAUUAGUACUCAUGUCGAGAAUAAAGGUACCUUGGAAAAGUAAGCGGAAUUAAAAAUAGGAAUGUUUGUCAAAGUGAAGAAUGAUUAUCAAUGUAUUUUGACAGCAUUAGAUACUCAAUCUUUCUUAUGCUUGUCUAGUGAAAAAUAAAAAGAAGACGAAGAGAGAGAAUGUUAUGAGCUAUGAUUAAGUAUCUGGAGGUGUGAGAACUUCAAUUCUUUCUUUAAUUCCUACUAGAUAUAUUAUUAAGUCCGUCUUAGAAAAUUAAGUAAGAAGUCAAGAUAAAAAAUAUGGGUAAGGAUGAGAGAGCCAUAUCCUCCACAGGAAUAAGUCAAAAUAUAUUAGUUCCUCCAUGUUUAAAAAAAAGAGAGAGAGAGAGAGAGAGUGUGUGUGUGUGUGUGUGUGUGUGUGUGUGAGAGAGAGAGAGAUUUACAUAGAAAAUCAGACCACACAGACCCCAUGGUCCAGACUAGGUGGUCUGUCCUUAAACUUAAAUGAUUCUACAUUAAUCAGAAGGCUCCAAAACGAAGAAAGUAACAUUGAAUUGAAUUGAAAUAUUUAUUGUUGUAAAAUAUAACAAAGGGGAAUGGCUGGGCUUGCAGACAAAGCCCUGACUAUAUAGGCUAGUUGCAAAAAAUAAAAAUCUCCAUUGUACAAAAAUAAAACAUGUUGAGGUUAGUUAAAAGAAAUUAGAAUGUAAAUACUGAUAAUAUUCCUGAGGAGGUACACAUGCAAUUACCACCAUGCACAUGAGUCUAAACACUAUCACCAGUAAACAUAAUUGCAUCAGUAGAAUCAAAAAGCGCCUCCCAUCUAAUACCAUUUUGAGGUCUGAUGGCUACCAAGUUCUUUACAUCUAGCAUUGAAAUCACCCAUGAGUACAGUCUUUUCUUCCAAAAUACGGUCAGGGAGAUGUUGAACAUGGAAAUCACCUGAGUGAAUAUAUGAAUUAGCAAAGAAAAUUUGAUCAUUAGGGGUGUGCAAAGUAACAAUGAAAUUCAACACCUUGACGAGAACCCUUUUCCCACAUACGAUUUACAAGGCCUACAUAGGGGUCAUGGGCCUUUCCUAGGGUAGUUUUAUUUUAUUUUACGUGAAAAAACACUUAUUAGGCGCAUUUGACCUCAUUUCUUGUCCUGUAGACAUAACUGAUAUGAGAAUCGUAGGCGUUUUUCAAGAAUGCUGACCCAGAAAUUAUGAAAAAAGGCAAAAAUUGUGCCCGAUCAGGUAUUUUUGGCCAAAGUGAAUUGAUUUAGGCCAAACGCUUGACAAAAAGCCAAAAUUGAGGUUUCAUUUAGCCUCAAAAAGGUCAACUCGGUGGUUGGCUCUAGAAUAUUCGUGUAUUUUAAAUGUCCUUUAGCUUUACGGUUAUGAGCUAUAUUAUUGUAUUUUUAUAGUCAUUAAUUUAUAGUUCGUCCGUACGUAAGAUCAUUAAUAUACUUGGGGGAGGCACUAUGGUAAAUUUGGCGGGGUCAGUGCAUCGGUUCUUUCCUGGAAUAUUCGUGUAUUUAAAAUGUCCUUCAGCUUUACGGUAAUGAGCUCUAUUAAUGUGUUUUUAUAGUCAUUAAUACAUAGUUCGUCCGUACGUAAGAUCAUUAAUAUAUUUGGGGGAGGCACUAUGGUAAAUUUGGCGGGGUCAGACCGUCGGUUCUUUCCUGGAAUAUUCGUGUAUUUAAAAUGUCCUUCAGCUUUACGGUAAUGAGCUCUAUUAUUGUAUUUUUAUAGUCAUUAAUUCAUAGUUCGUCCGUGCGUAAGAUCAUUAAUACGCUUGGGGGAGGCACUAUGGUAAAUUUGGCGGGGUCAGCGCGUCGGUUCUUUCCUGGAAUAUUCGUGUAUUUAAAAUGUCCUUCAGCUUUACGGUAAUGAGCUCUAUUAUUGUGUCUUUAUAGUCAUUAAUUCAUAGUUCGUCCCUGCGUAAGAUCAUUAAUACGCUUGGGGGAGGCACUAUGGUAAAUUUGGCGGGGUCAGCGCGUCGGUUCUUUCCUGGAAUAUUCGUGUAUUUAAAAUGUCCUUUAGCUUUACGGUAAUGAGCUCUAUUAUUGUGUUUUUAUAGUCAUUAAUUCAUAGUUCGUCCCUGCGUAAGAUCAUUAAUACGCUUGGGGGAGGCACUAUGGUAAAUUUGGCGGGGUCAGCGCGUUGGUUCUUCUCUGAAAUAUUCGUGUAUUUAAAAUGUCCUUCAGCUUUACGGUUUGAGCUCUAUUAUUGUGUUUUUAUAGUCAUUAAUUCAUAGUUCGUCCCUGCGUAAGAUCAUUAAUACGCUUGGGGGAGGCACUAUGGUAAAUUUGGCGGGGUCAGCGCGUCGGUUCUUUCCUGGAAUAUUCGUGUAUUUAAAAUGUCCUUCAGCUUUACGGUAAUGAGCUCUAUUAUUGUGUUUUUAUAGUCAUUAAUUCAUAGUUCGUCCCUGCGUAAGACCAUUAAUAAGCGUGGUUGAGAUACAAAGUUUGGCGGGGGUGCGAGUUGGCGCCAUUCCCGGUUGGUUCUUCUCUGGAAUAUUCGUGUAUUUCAAGUGUCCUUUAGCUUUACGGUUAUGAGCUAUAUUAUUGUGUUUUUAUAGUCAUUAAUUCAUAGUUCGUCCCUGCGUAAGAUCAUUAAUACACUUGGGGGAGACACUAUGGUAAAUUUGGCGGGGUCAGCGCGUCGGUUCUUUCCUGGAAUAUUCGUGUAUUUAAAAUGUCCUUUAGCUUUACGGUAAUGAGCUCUAUUAUUGUAUUUUUAUAGUCAUUAAUUCAUAGUUCGUCCCUGCGUAAGACCAUUAAUAAGCGUGUUUGAGAUACUAAGCUUGGCGGGGAAGCGAGCCUUGGCGCCAUUCCCGGGCCGACCUCCAUUCCGAGCAGACGCACGGCAAGACGCUCCUCACGAUGGCGCCAAAUAUUCACGAUUAUAACGCCGCAGCCCGGUUAUUAGGCAAUAGCACUACUUAAUUAAGUUGCCCUGACACAACAUGUAAGGGGCAGAAACAGAAGGUUACAGCACCCAAUACCUACCACGACAUGCUACCACACACAAUACUAGCACAGCCAUACCAAGAAAACAAGGUGGACAUUUUAGAACUAUUGUUAUGUAAAGAAGCAAUAAGACUGUGAAGUCAAGAAAGACCUGAUCAGAAGAAUGGGGAAGAAGAAAAGAAAACUGACCUCUUUUACAAUACACAGGUUACUGGACCCCUCCCUUUUACACAGACUACUACUACUACUACUACUACUACUACUACUACUACCAUAUUGCAGCUUUAAUCAAGAAACUUGAAACAUGCAUAAACAGAAGGAAGGAAAUUAAAUAUAUGCAAGAAUUUUGGAAGAAUCGCUUAAAAUCCGAGAAGAGACGGCAGCACUCAACCAGGCACAAGAAAAUCAAGAAGUGGAGGCUCCGAACUGCACUGAACUGAACUGUAAACUUUAUCAGAAGGGAGGAUAUUAAAUAUACUCAAGAAUUUUAGAAGAAUCGCUUAAAAAUCAGAGAAGAGAAGGCAGCACAACCAAGCACAAGAAGACCAUUUAGAGGGGCAAAGACAACCCUCCAAACAGAACUGGAAACAAACAGAAGGGAGGAAAUUAAAUAUACUCAAGACUUUUGGAAGAAUCGCUUAAAAUUCAGCCAGGCACAAGAAGACCAUUUAGAGGGGCAAAGGCAACCCUCCGAACAGAACUGGAAACAAACAGAACGGAGGAAAUUAAAUAUACUCAAGACUUUUGGAAGAAUCGCUUAAAAUUCAGCCAGGCACAAGAAGACCAUUUAGAGGGUCCGCUGCAAAGGCACUCCCUCCGAACUACACUGCACUGAACUGACCUGGUUACGGCGCCUGUACAAGUGACCCGGGAUGGAGUAUUGGCGGCAGGGCAGCUCUACGAAAGCUGCUGUGGGAGUGCUGCCCUCCACAGCAAGCAAGGGGCUGCCCUGCCCAGACCACAGCAAGAGGAGGAAGAGCUCUGCAUUACUAAGUUAAGUACCUCACUAUGACAUUCUGAGGGUUUGGCUUCAUUUUUGCCUUCUAUUAAAAACUUUUUACUUUCUAACGAACCUUAAUCUUUUCUCAGCCUGCCUCCUCCUCCUCCUCCUCCUUCAACUUCCUUUACCUCCUUGUGUGAAUCUGUCCGUCCCGAGAUCCGGCGAGACCAUCCCGACGUCGUAACACCCGUUUGGGAGUGGGGGGACUCAUGAAGCUGGGGGCGGCAGCCCUAAGGUGGGGAGGGUUGCGCCGACACCUCCACUCCGUUUCGGCGGAAUGUGGCUGGCUAGGGUGGCCUGAACCACUGUCUGGGUUGUUUGUCGUUCAGUCGGAUUGAGGAUCUGCCUCCCUUGAGGUGCACAUGUCAUAGUGGUGGCAGAAGAGAGUAUGAGUGAAGCUGAUGUCAUCCCGACGUCGUAACACCGUUGGGCGGGGCGGGGCUCUCAUGUCAAGUCUCCCCGCGGUGCACAUGUCACAGAGGUGCAAAUAGCAUGGCCUUCUUUCCUAUCUUUUCCACCUCCUCCUCCUCCACCCCCUCCCCCACACACACCUCCUGCUGUUAUAUCGUCACCCUCAUAAAGUAAUUGCCUAAGUCAUUUUUCAGUGAUUUCCAUUUUUGUUAAGUUGUCUUAGAUAUUCAGGGUUUGAGUGUUCUACAAUUGCCCUUUUUAUUUCUGCCUAAAUCUUAAGCCAAAUGAGAUGAUGACGUUCUCUUCUUGAAAAAUAGAAAAUAACGACUUGGGCGGUUUCUUUACGAAGGUGGCGAGAUUGUAAUAGGUUUUGCACCCUCUAUUUAGGGAUGUGCACUAAUUUUUGUCUCUUCUCUUCCCCUCCUCCUCCCCUGGCUGGCCGGGGAACGGAGGAGGAGCACUAGGACGAGGAGGUGAAGGGAGGCGCAGGGAGAGACGACUCAAGCACGUGGAGGCAAGAGACAAGAAGCAGAGACGCAGGAACAGAAAGGCAGCCAGAUGGUCGAUGCUGUGAAGAGGAGGAAGAUGACUGCAGGAGGCGGUGUGUGUGUGUUGGGGAAGGAGACGACGGCACCAACCUCACACACAGCGGGUUAAGGCCUGCAAGAGAGCCUAGUCAAUGAAGAGGAAAAGAAGACAAGAAUAAAGAAGAAAGAAAAAAGAAGAGGCAAAACAGGAGGAGGGGAUUUUUUUUCUGUCUAUACCUGAAGUGUGAUGAAUUUACUAAGGGUAUAUUUAAGCCUGAUAUAACGUACUUUAAGGUAUAUUUAAUGGUACAAGUGUGUAGCCUACUUUUGCCUGGAGUUGGAGACGGUAAAAUGCUCUCCGACUCCUUUAUUGUGGUGCUGUGUGGUUUGUUUACUGUGGUGCGAUGUGGGUCAUUUACUGUGGUGCGGUGUGGCUCGUUAACUGAGGUGAGGUAUGGUUCGUUUAUUGUGGUGCGGUAUGGUUCGUUUACUGUGGUGCGGUGUGGCUCGUUAAUUAAGGUGAGGUGUGGUUCAUUUAUUGUGGUGCGGUGUGGUUCGUUAAUUAAGGUGAGGUAUGGUUCGUUUAUUGUAGUGCGGUAUGGUUCGUUUACUGUGGUGCGGUGUGGCUCGUUAAUUAAGGUGAGGUGUGGUUCAUUUAUUGUGGUGCGGUGUGGCGUUGCGGGCUUUAACUUCCCUACCACUGCACCAGACAAGGGUAAGGGGCAGGGGGUGGAGUCAAAUUUUUUUAUAUCCGACUCCACACCCGUGUUAGAGUGUAAGAGUAUUGAUGGAAUAUAUUUAGGUGCUGGGGGAUACUGUGGCGCUCUUGUUGUAGCAACCCAUUCUGCUUCUGCAUAUUAACCCGUACUGCUAACAACGACCCGUACUGCUGCUACUGCUGCAUGACGCAUAGCAACUCGUGUUUUUUCCGCUGCCGUAACGACCCGUACUGCUAACGCAUAAUGACCUGUGCUGCUUCUGCUAUUGUAACAACUCUUACUGCAAUAACUUACUGCUGCUUCCAUUUAAAAACGUAUAAACGCAUAAACCCGCUGUGUUGCCAACUUGUCAACAACCCAACUAAUGAAUUUUCUGAUCAAAGAUCAAAGAGAGGAUUAGGCCUUCAGGGGACACCUCUUAAAUAAAAACGCGCCUGGGACUUUUACCUCAGAGGUGGUGUGGAAAAAAAGUCCAGUCACGAAAAUAAGUAUCUUAUACUCCAUGAAAGUGUCUCAGUCUUAUGAGAACACAAAGGUUGAGAGGGCUCAGACAUUCUGUUGUUUACUGCACACACUCCCAUGUUAGCAGUAAGGGUACUAAAUUCUGAUCUCUGUACAAAACAACCAAAUAAUAAGGAAAAGAAAGUUGAAUAAAAUGUUUGCCUGCAUUAUCCGUCAGCAGCGUAGACGUAACAAGGGUUGAAAAAAUGACUUAUUUAUUACAGCCGCUGGCCAACGCCUUGACCCCAGAGGCUUUGUGUUUGUCUCCGCGUCCUCCGCACUACACUGCACAGAAUCUGGCGAGCCUGGGUUGUGACAGCUAUUUCCCAAAGCCUCCAAGGAUACCAGUCAGGCUUAUGAGUGUUUUUCGUGUUGUUGGGGAAGCUCGCAAAUCUACACCUGGAAAUACUACUACCAACACAACCCAUAUGAAAGCCUUUCCUAAAACAUAAAACCUCUACCAGUGCCUUACCAGAAAGAACCAAAGCUUACCAAAUACCCAAAAAUCUCUACUAUUUGUGGUUGACUCAAGGUAUUGAAUUUUCACUUAUUUUUUUUACACGGAUGUUAGUGUCCCUUAUAUGUCUUGUUGGGUCUAUUAUUUGUUCUAUAUAUAAGGUAUUGAAUUUGCACUUAUUUUUUAUAAUGACGUUAGUGUCCCUCAUAUGUCGUGUCAUUGAGGGAGUGUUUGGGUCUAUUAUUUGUUCUAUAUAUAAGGUAUUGAAUUUCCACUGAUUUUGUAUACUUAUGUUACUGUCCCUCAUAUGUUGUGUCAUUGAGGGAGUGUUUGGGUCUAUCAUUUUUGUUUUGAUGCCCCUUUCAUGGAUCUAAAUAAUGACAUCCACCUUAAAAUAAAUGUAUGUGUCUGUGGUCAUCCCAAAGCUGAAGGUUGGUAUCUACUCCACUGUUUUUCAUGUUUUCUCGGACAGUUCAUAUUAUUAGCAAAUGUUUUUACCCGUCCGCUGUGAUUGGCAUGGAUUUCGCCUUCACUGGUAACCUGGUAACAUGUACUCCCAAAUCAUUCUUUGUCUCUGUGGUGGAUAGUGGAGUGUUUCCCAUGUGGUAUUGGUGUGCUGGAUAUCCCUUCACUGGUAGCCUGGUAACAUAUGUACUCCCAGAUCAUUCUCUGCCUCUGUGGUGGAUAGUGGAGUGCUUCCCAUGUGGUACUGGUGUGGUGGAUAUCCCCUCCCAAGGU